This 517-nucleotide ribosomal RNA is filed under the name uncultured Acidovorax sp. RNAcentral's name for it is "bacterial SSU rRNA". It matches the Rfam family "Bacterial small subunit ribosomal RNA", at positions 39 to 557 of the family's 1533-position model. The record is from RNAcentral. Lineage: Bacteria; Pseudomonadati; Pseudomonadota; Betaproteobacteria; Burkholderiales; Comamonadaceae.
GCGGCAUGCCUUACACAUGCAAGUCGAACGGUAGAGGGGCAACCCUUGAGAGUGGCGAACGGGUGAGUAAUAUAUCGGAACGUGCCCAGUCGUGGGGGAUAACGCAGCGAAAGCUGCGCUAAUACCGCAUACGAUCUAAGGAUGAAAGCGGGGGAUCGCAAGACCUCGCGCGAUUGGAGCGGCCGAUAUCAGAUUAGGUGGUUGGUGGGGUAAAAGCCCACCAAGCCGACGAUCUGUAGCUGGUCUGAGAGGACGACCAGCCACACUGGGACUGAGACACGGCCCAGACUCCUACGGGAGGCAGCAGUGGGGAAUUUUGGACAAUGGGCGCAAGCCUGAUCCAGCAAUGCCGCGUGCAGGACGAAGGCCUUCGGGUUGUAAACUGCUUUUGUACGGAGCGAAACGGUCUGGGUUAAUACCCUGGGCUAAUGACGGUACCGUAAGAAUAAGCACCGGCUAACUACGUGCCAGCAGCCGCGGUAAUACGUAGGGUGCGAGCGUUAAUCGGAAUUACUGG